GCCAGCAUGGUGUAAUGGUUUGAGUGUUGGACUACAACUCUGGAGAUCAGGGUUCAAUUCCCACUCUGCCA
Molecule: non-coding RNA, 71 nt
Organism: Phrynosoma platyrhinos (Desert horned lizard)
Lineage: Eukaryota; Metazoa; Chordata; Lepidosauria; Squamata; Phrynosomatidae
Source: the annotation of a GenBank genome assembly